UCUAGUGUUUGGACAUGUUGGAGGCUUACUGUCCCUAGAAGAUGCCCUUUUUGCUACCAAUUCUUAGAGAGAGCAAAGGACACACUCCUCCUGACUGUCACCUAGACCACUGUACACCCCUCCUCGUCACCCUGAACCAGGUAAGCAGCCCAGACCAGCCCACUGCUGCCAUGCUGACCUGAGCCCCAAGCUCCAUACCCACCAGGUCAGUGACCUCAGACCAUCUCACAUCUGACUUCUCAGCUGUGGCCUUCUGGGAACACUGGGCUGAAUGAGCAUCAGUGUGGAAGUCAUGAAACAACAUCAGCCUCUUUAGAAACCAGCUCAGGAAGUUUUGUGUUCAUGUUAGAACCUCCAUCACCCUGACUCUGUUCCCCAAACUCUGAUCUGUUUUCUGGUCAUGUGUUAAUUGAGCCUUUUUCCAUAAACCCUAAAUCUAAAUCCCAAAGGAAUCAACCUGAAAAUCCUGUAAUGGGC
Molecule: long non-coding RNA, 477 nt
Filed under: Cavia porcellus (domestic guinea pig)
Lineage: Eukaryota; Metazoa; Chordata; Mammalia; Rodentia; Caviidae
Description: lncRNA (ENSCPOG00000033933.1)
Source: RNAcentral